CUUCCCUCCCCGACUGGGAGUGGAGACAAGCCCCUGCCAGAUCACACGCCUUUCUAAGCCCGUAGCAGCUUCGCCCGGCCAUGGAACACAUGCAAGUACCCUCUCAUCGCCACAACCGCACCUCUGCGCAGCGGAGCAGCCGGCCGGGCCGCUGACGCAUGAUCUUGCCCAAUUCAUUUAACUUUGCUAAGGCUCAGUUUCUUCAACUAUAAAAGAAAGAUAUUGUUACAGGUAUCUGGAAUUUCAGAAUGUUAAGCAGAAAACAAGGAUUAAUGAAGUUCUACAGACUGGGCAAUGAAGCUAAGAAGAACAUACUACAAAUGGGAGGCUCCAUAACUAACCACAGCUCAACACUGACAUAAUCUACUCAAGCCACCGUCAGAAAAGACCACUUCUAGAUGACACCAGGUGUUAA
This 415-nucleotide long non-coding RNA is filed under the name Equus caballus (horse). RNAcentral describes it as "lncRNA (ENSECAG00000046012.1)". The record is from RNAcentral. Lineage: Eukaryota; Metazoa; Chordata; Mammalia; Perissodactyla; Equidae.